Molecule: ribosomal RNA, 325 nt
Filed under: uncultured eukaryote
Lineage: Eukaryota
Description: partial 18S ribosomal RNA
Rfam family: Eukaryotic small subunit ribosomal RNA
Source: RNAcentral
CCCUUAGAUGUUCUGGGCCGCACGCGCGCUACACUGAUGCAUUCAACGAGCCUAUCCUUGACCGACAGGUCCGGGUAAUCUUUGAAUCUGCAUCGUGACGGGGAUAGAUUAUUGCAAUUAUUAAUCUUCAACGAGGAAUGCCUAGUAGGCGCAAGUCAUCAGCUUGCGUCGAUUACGUCCCUGCCCUUUGUACGCACCGCCCGUCGCUCCUACCGAUUGGGUGUGCUGGUGAAAUGUUCGGAUCGGCCGUUUGUCGCGGUUUCCGCGUCAUGUGGCUGAGAAGUUCAUUAAACCCUCCCACCUAGAGGAAGGAGAAGUCAUAACA